RNAcentral lists this transfer RNA (71 nucleotides) under Cordylochernes scorpioides. RNAcentral's name for it is "tRNA-Gly". It matches the Rfam family "tRNA". Rfam says of the family: Transfer RNA (tRNA) molecules are approximately 80 nucleotides in length. Lineage: Eukaryota; Metazoa; Arthropoda; Arachnida; Pseudoscorpiones; Chernetidae. The record is from RNAcentral.
UCAUCGGUGGCUUAGUGGUAGAAUGCUCGCCUGCCACGCGGGCGGCCCGGGUUCGAUUCCUGGCCGAUGCA